UUUGAAAUAAAAAUAAAAAAUGAGUAAAUGUGAUGCAUUUUUUUCACUAAACUCAAACCAACGUAAAUUAACAAGAAAUUUAUGAAACCCUAUAACCAAAAAAUAAUACAUAAUCAAAAUGAAUACUUCAAGAACAAUUUUUGAAAAACAGAAAAUAACAUACGACAAACAAAAUUGUAAACAAAUGAUAAAAGAAAUAUUCUCAUGAUAUAAACAAGAGAUCAAAGGUUAUUAUAUCUAAAUAAAUGUGAUAAAUAAAAAUAUUAUGUCGUGAAUUCCAAAGCACAAAUUCAAUAUUCGUAUGAAAAUGUUUUAAAAAAGUUGAGAAAAUAAUAAACGUUGAAAUUAAACAGUAUGAUUUAAAAUAAGAAAAAUGUAUCAAAAGAUCUACACC
This 394-nucleotide long non-coding RNA is filed under the name Brassica rapa (field mustard). Its description in RNAcentral is "long non-coding RNA (BRAP_LNC001372)". Lineage: Eukaryota; Viridiplantae; Streptophyta; Magnoliopsida; Brassicales; Brassicaceae. The record is from RNAcentral.